GGACUGCCGGUGACAAACCGGAGGAAGGUGGGGAUGACGUCAAGUCCUCAUGGCCCUUAUGGGUAGGGCUUCACACGUCAUACAAUGGUCGGUACAGAGGGUUGCCAAGCCGCGAGGCGGAGCCAAUCCCACAAAGCCGAUCGUAGUCCGGAUUGUUCUCUGCAACUCGAGAGCAUGAAGUCGGAAUCGCUAGUAAUCGCAGGUCAGCAUACUGCGGUGAAUACGUUCCCGGGUCUU
This 237-nucleotide ribosomal RNA is filed under the name uncultured Thiobacillus sp. RNAcentral describes it as "partial 16S ribosomal RNA". It matches the Rfam family "Bacterial small subunit ribosomal RNA", at positions 1146 to 1382 of the family's 1533-position model. Lineage: Bacteria; Pseudomonadati; Pseudomonadota; Betaproteobacteria; Nitrosomonadales; Thiobacillaceae. The record is from RNAcentral.